Molecule: small RNA, 179 nt
Filed under: Elstera litoralis
Lineage: Bacteria; Pseudomonadati; Pseudomonadota; Alphaproteobacteria; Rhodospirillales; Rhodospirillaceae
Description: Manganese sequence
Rfam family: Manganese Mn2+ riboswitch aptamer (yybP-ykoY)
About the family: This RNA was originally discovered in E. coli during a large scale screen and was named SraF. The family was later found to exist upstream of related families of protein genes in many bacteria, including the the yybP and ykoK genes in B. subtilis. The specific functions of these proteins are unknown, but this structured RNA element may be involved in their genetic regulation as a riboswitch.
Source: RNAcentral
CCCUUGGGGAGUAGCCGCCGCGAACUUACGCGGGGAUGCGUCAACAGGCUUGGAGGCUUCGACCUUCAUGGCGCAUCCAGUCCGGAUUCGGAUUGGCGAGACCAAGCGCGAGUGCCCGCCGGAACAAGAAACCGGGCGGCCGGGCAUAUCGCGCUUGCGUACUCGUUGCCGCCCGGACU